Molecule: transfer RNA, 72 nt
Filed under: Spirochaetia bacterium
Lineage: Bacteria; Pseudomonadati; Spirochaetota; Spirochaetia
Description: tRNA-Pro
Rfam family: tRNA
About the family: Transfer RNA (tRNA) molecules are approximately 80 nucleotides in length. Their secondary structure includes four short double-helical elements and three loops (D, anti-codon, and T loops).
Source: RNAcentral
CGGGAUGUAGCGCAGGGGUAGCGCAUCAGUUUUGGGUACUGAGGGUCGCUGGUUCAAAUCCAGUCAUCCCGA